AACGAACGCUGGCGGCAUGCCUAACACAUGCAAGUCGAACGAGACCUUCGGGUCUAGUGGCGCACGGGUGCGUAACGCGUGGGAAUCUGCCCUUGGGUUCGGAAUAACAGUGAGAAAUUACUGCUAAUACCGGAUGAUGUCUUCGGACCAAAGAUUUAUCGCCCAGGGAUGAGCCCGCGUAGGAUUAGCUAGUUGGUGGGGUAAUGGCCUACCAAGGCGACGAUCCUUAGCUGGUCUGAGAGGAUGAUCAGCCACACUGGGACUGCGACACGGCCCAGACUCCUACGGGAGGCAGCAGUGGGGAAUAUUGGACAAUGGGCGCAAGCCUGAUCCAGCAAUGCCGCGUGAGUGAUGAAGGCCUUAGGGUUGUAAAGCUCUUUUACCCGGGAUGAUAAUGACAGUACCGGGAGAAUAAGCUCCGGCUAACUCCGUG
This 433-nucleotide ribosomal RNA is filed under the name uncultured bacterium. RNAcentral's name for it is "partial 16S ribosomal RNA". It matches the Rfam family "Bacterial small subunit ribosomal RNA", at positions 29 to 507 of the family's 1533-position model. The record is from RNAcentral.